This 123-nucleotide ribosomal RNA is filed under the name Staphylococcus hominis. RNAcentral describes it as "partial 16S ribosomal RNA". It matches the Rfam family "Bacterial small subunit ribosomal RNA", at positions 395 to 510 of the family's 1533-position model. Lineage: Bacteria; Bacillati; Bacillota; Bacilli; Caryophanales; Staphylococcaceae. The record is from RNAcentral.
CGCCGCGUGAGUGAUGAAGGUCUUCGGAUCGUAAAACUCUGUUAUUAGGGAAGAACAAACGUGUAAGUAACUGUGCACGUCUUGACGGUACCUAAUCAGAAAGCCACGGCUAACUACGUGCCA